Molecule: ribosomal RNA, 119 nt
Filed under: Gadus morhua (Atlantic cod)
Lineage: Eukaryota; Metazoa; Chordata; Actinopteri; Gadiformes; Gadidae
Source: RNAcentral
GCUUACGGCCAUACCAACUUAGGCACGCCCGAUCUCGUCUGAUCUCGGAAGCUAAGCAGGGUCGGGCCUGGUUAGUACUUGGAUGGGUGACCGCCUGGGAACACCAGGUGCUGUAAGCA